CCCCUCCCCCGGCGCCCCCGCCCCGGCCGCGCGGCCCCCAACUGCCGCCCGCCCGCCGGCAGGGAGCGGCUCCCAUCGCCGCCCAGGCGUUAGCGAAAAUCGCGCGCACAGAGAGGAGCUUUCUCCUCUGCUAAAAAUAGGCUAUAAAGGAGUCGGCCUCAUGAUGGCUCCUUGAUUCAAUUUGCUGCAAAUUCUUUCCUGAAAGCCUUCCCCGCCUCACAUCCACACGCACAAAAAGGGGGGUGUCGAGGCACGAAGGGCGCGAGAGGGGGAGCAGGCCGAGGUGCACAUUUUCGGGAGACAACAACAACAUAAUUAGGGUGAAUGCUUUGAAAAGUGGCCAAAAGCAAAGAGAAGACAAGAGUCCCUCAAGGUUGAGGAAGAUGGUGGUCUUUGGCUUCUCUCCAAGUAGUGGCACACUUGCUCAGCCCCUGUGAGAGAAGGAGAGGAGUCACUUUGUGGUGUGCCUAGAGAGGCUGGAUAUUACACUCUGGAGCUCUCAGCCCUGGCAAAGACGCCUGUGCCGAGCUUGGCAGGAGUCAGCAGAGCUGCCUGACCUUAAGUGAUCCGAAGAGCUUGGAUGCUGAGCACAUGCAUGGUGAUUAGUAUGAACUGAAAACAAGCGGACUCCAUCUAAGUGACAUGCUCUGGAGAGAAAAAGUAAAGGCAGAGAUGUCCCAAUUCGCUCAGUUUCCAUUAACUUUAAGCAGAAGUUUUGCCUGUGGAAAGAAGAUAUUCUGAUGGCACAGAGACUGAGGAGAUUAAAUGGCUUUCACAUCACCGUGCAAGAUGUCACUCAAUGAAUAUCUUGAUAACCUGAUUUCCAGAGCCACAUGAGCUGUA
RNAcentral lists this long non-coding RNA (843 nucleotides) under Heterocephalus glaber (naked mole-rat). RNAcentral's name for it is "lncRNA (ENSHGLG00000026136.2)". Lineage: Eukaryota; Metazoa; Chordata; Mammalia; Rodentia; Bathyergidae. The record is from RNAcentral.